This 851-nucleotide ribosomal RNA is filed under the name uncultured Christiangramia sp. RNAcentral describes it as "bacterial SSU rRNA". It matches the Rfam family "Bacterial small subunit ribosomal RNA", at positions 18 to 859 of the family's 1533-position model. The record is from RNAcentral. Lineage: Bacteria; Pseudomonadati; Bacteroidota; Flavobacteriia; Flavobacteriales; Flavobacteriaceae.
CCUGGCUCAGGAUGAACGCUAGCGGCAGGCCUAACACAUGCAAGUCGAACGGUAACAGGGAUUAGCUUGCUAAUCCGCUGACGAGUGGCGCACGGGUGCGUAACGCGUAUACAAUCUGCCUUUAAGCGGGGAAUAGCCCAUGGAAACGUGGAUUAAUACCCCAUAGUAUAUAGACUUCACCUGGAGACUAUAUUAAACAUUUAUGGCUUAAAGAUGAGUAUGCGUCCUAUUAGUUAGUUGGUAAGGUAACGGCUUACCAAGACCGCGAUAGGUAGGGGUCCUGAGAGGGAGAUCCCCCACACUGGUACUGAGACACGGACCAGACUCCUACGGGAGGCAGCAGUGAGGAAUAUUGGACAAUGGAGGCAACUCUGAUCCAGCCAUGCCGCGUGCAGGAAGACGGCCCUAUGGGUUGUAAACUGCUUUUAUACGGGAAGAACCACUCCGACGUGUCGGAGCUUGACGGUACCGUAUGAAUAAGGACCGGCUAACUCCGUGCCAGCAGCCGCGGUAAUACGGAGGGUCCAAGCGUUAUCCGGAAUCAUUGGGUUUAAAGGGUCCGUAGGCGGAAUAAUAAGUCAGUGGUGAAAGUCUGCAGCUUAACUGUAGAAUUGCCAUUGAUACUGUUGUUCUUGAAUUAUUAUGAAGUGGUUGGAAUGAGUAGUGUAGCGGUGAAAUGCAUAGAUAUUACUCAGAACACCUAUUGCGAAGGCAGAUCACUAAUAAUAUAUUGACGCUGAGGGACGAAAGCGUAGGUAGCGAACAGGAUUAGAUACCCUGGUAGUCUACGCCGUAAACGAUGGUUACUAGCUGUCCGGCCUAAUUGAGGGCUGGGUGGUUAAGCGAAAGUG